ACCUCAGUAGCCCAAUUGGAAGAGGCGUCCCGCUCAGACCGGGGAUGUUGGGGGUUCGAAUCCCUCCUGAGGUA
Molecule: transfer RNA, 74 nt
Filed under: Flavilitoribacter nigricans
Lineage: Bacteria; Pseudomonadati; Bacteroidota; Saprospiria; Saprospirales; Lewinellaceae
Also listed under: 1 other name
Rfam family: tRNA
About the family: Transfer RNA (tRNA) molecules are approximately 80 nucleotides in length.
Source: RNAcentral